RNAcentral lists this long non-coding RNA (221 nucleotides) under Cyanistes caeruleus (blue tit). RNAcentral describes it as "lncRNA (ENSCCEG00000021640.1)". Lineage: Eukaryota; Metazoa; Chordata; Aves; Passeriformes; Paridae. The record is from RNAcentral.
CAAAUGUUUUUAAUGAUUAUAAUAAUAUAGAACUAUGCAAUGUGAAUGUGGAUUUUUUCUCUGCAGAAAUACAGGAUGUAUUUACUUAAGGAAAUCCUGUCCCAGAUCUCUCUGCUGCUUCACAUCAUCUCUUUAGAUUGGGUUCUUCCAGAUUGCUUUAUCAGCAAUCUUUCUGCCUGCUCCAUUUCUCUCUGAAAGAUGGAAAGCUGAAGCAAGUACAG